UUUGGCUAGGAUGAUAAAUAUUUUAAUCCCAGCUCAUUAUGAGACCUUUUUCAAGGUCUGGGAAUUGAAUUAUCCAACAUUUAUCUGAGCCUUUAU
This 96-nucleotide small nucleolar RNA is filed under the name Jatropha curcas. The record is from RNAcentral. Lineage: Eukaryota; Viridiplantae; Streptophyta; Magnoliopsida; Malpighiales; Euphorbiaceae.